RNAcentral lists this ribosomal RNA (407 nucleotides) under uncultured bacterium. RNAcentral describes it as "bacterial SSU rRNA". It matches the Rfam family "Bacterial small subunit ribosomal RNA", at positions 355 to 776 of the family's 1533-position model. The record is from RNAcentral.
UGGGGAAUAUUGGGCAAUGGGCGAAAGCCUGACCCAGCGACGCCGCGUGAGGGAAGAAGGUCUUCGGAUUGUAAACCUCUUUCAGCAGGGAAGAAGAAAGUGACGGUACCUGCAGAAGAAGUCACGGCUAACUACGUGCCAGCAGCCGCGGUAAUACGUAGGUGGCGAGCGUUAUCCGGAAUUACUGGGUGUAAAGGGUGUGUAGGCGGGAGUGCAAGUCAGGCGUGAAAUCUAUGGGCUCAACCCAUAAAUUGCGCUUGAAACUGUGCUUCUUGAGUAUGGGAGAGGUAAACGGAAUUCCUGGUGUAGUAGUGAAAUGCGUAGAUAUCAGGAGGAACACCGGUGGCGAAGGCGGUUUACUGGACCAUAACUGACGCUGAGACACGAAAGCGUGGGGAGCAAACAGG